This is a long non-coding RNA of Teleopsis dalmanni, 649 nucleotides long. RefSeq lists it as uncharacterized. The record is from RefSeq and is a predicted model, not a curated record. NCBI's taxonomy places the organism in Eukaryota, Metazoa, Arthropoda, Insecta, Diptera, Diopsidae. The transcript has 5 exons.
UUCAGUUGUGGUUUAAAAAUAAAAAAUUUUCCCGCUUGGAAACCACAAUUGUAGCGACGAUCAAAAUUUUUAAAAAAAGAAUGCAGUUAUUUUUGCCACAAACCACCUCGCAAUUUGAAUUCAGAUGGCGCAGCGAGCGAUGCAGUGAAAUAAUAUUACUGCAACACAUAAACCUUGUUUGGAAAAAUCGCCGUCGUCGCAGAGUCAAUUGAAAUAUAUCUCAGUUUUAAUCUUAAGGACAAUGUUUAUGUAGCCAUAUAUAAAACUAAACUGUUUUCGUAAUUACUUAAGGAAGAGAUCGUGAAUGUAAAUAAUAAAAAUAAAUGGUGAAUUCUUAUGUGCAUCACGGUACCUGUUAGUAAUACACUAAAACGUAACUUUAAGCUCUUAUAUACACAUGUUAUAAACAAACCGUAUUGUUGCAUCAAAUAUUUAAGCAGGAAGAGAUAAUAUUUACUGAUUAGAGAACUUGUAUACCUGGUACUACUUUUGGAAUAAUAUGUACAAUAUAACUGCUGUCGAUAAUAAAUUUUGUAUAUAAGUUAUAAAAUCAUAGUGAAAUACAAUAACACCGUCCACACAGUUCUAUUACAGAAAAAGUUCUAUUGUGUAAAAAAUUCUAAAACAAAAAAUAUACAACAAAAAUUUC